Molecule: ribosomal RNA, 440 nt
Filed under: uncultured bacterium
Lineage: Bacteria
Description: partial 16S ribosomal RNA
Rfam family: Bacterial small subunit ribosomal RNA
Source: RNAcentral
CCUACGGGGGGCAGCAGUGGGGAAUAUUGGACAAUGGGGGAAACCCUGAUCCAGCGACGCCGCGUGAGUGAAGAAGUAUUUCGGUACGUAAAGCUCUAUCAGCAGGAAAGAAAAUGACGGUACCUGACUAAGAAGCCCCGGCUAACUACGUGCCAGCAGCCGCGGUAAUACGUAGGGGGCAAGCGUUAUCCGGAGCUACUGGGUGUAAAGGGAGCGUAGACGGCAGCGCAAGUCUGGAGUGAAAUGCCGGGGCCCAACCCCGGAACUGCUCUGGAAACUGUGAAGCUGGAGUGCAGGAGAGGUAAGCUGACUUCCUGGUGUAGCGGUGUACUGCGUAGAUAUCAGGAGGCUCCCCGGCGGCGAAGGCGGCUUACUGGACUGUAACUGCCGUUGAGGCUCGACGGCGUGGGGAGCAACCAGGAUUAGAUACCCGAGUAGUC